RNAcentral lists this small RNA (457 nucleotides) under Pan troglodytes (chimpanzee). RNAcentral describes it as "processed transcript". The record is from RNAcentral. Lineage: Eukaryota; Metazoa; Chordata; Mammalia; Primates; Hominidae.
GCACAUGCGCAGGAGGCUCAAUGACAGUCGAGCUUUGGCUAAGGUAACAGGAAUUCCACUCGAGUCCGGCAGAGAAGGCGGCUUUGGAGGCGUUCUCGGCCCACGUGGACUUCUGCACCCUGUUCCACUACCACCAAAUCCUGGCCCGGCUGCAGGCCUUAUAUGACCCCAUCAACCCUGACAGGGAGACCCUCGAUCAGCCAUCACUAACGGAUCCCCAGCGUCUGUCUAAUGAGCAGGAGGUGCUUCGGGCUCUGGAGCCCCUGCUGGCCCAGGCCAACUUCUCCCCGCUGUCUGAGGACACCCUGGCCUACGCGCUGGUGGUCCACCACCCUCAGGAUGAGGUCCAGGUGACAGUAAAUUUGGAUCAGUAUGUCUACAUGCACUUCUGGGCCCUGGGCCAGCGAGUCGGGCAGAUGCCCCUGAAGUCCAGCGUGGGCUCCAGGCGUGGCUUCUU